This 219-nucleotide unclassified non-coding RNA is filed under the name Hevea brasiliensis (rubber tree). Lineage: Eukaryota; Viridiplantae; Streptophyta; Magnoliopsida; Malpighiales; Euphorbiaceae. The record is from RNAcentral.
AAUGACCUAAGCCAUUUUGGUUUAAUUUGCCUACACAUAUAUGACCCUUAAUUUUCUUGUACACUAUCAAUGUGGGACAUGUUCCUACAAGUGAUAUUCCAACACUCCCCUUAAGUGGCAAUCGGAACAUCUGGUUAACACUUGAAACCUGAAACUGAAAUGCAGCAGCAACACCAGAAAAUUAAACUGAAACUGAAACCAGACCCUAAUCUACUCUUA